RNAcentral lists this ribosomal RNA (371 nucleotides) under uncultured bacterium. RNAcentral's name for it is "bacterial SSU rRNA". It matches the Rfam family "Bacterial small subunit ribosomal RNA", at positions 527 to 896 of the family's 1533-position model. The record is from RNAcentral.
AGAGGGUGCAAGCGUUGUUCGGAUUUACUGGGCGUAAAGCGCGUGUAGGCGGUGGCGUAAGUCGGAUGUGAAAUCCCUCGGCUUAACCGAGGACGUGCACCCGAUACUGUGCCACUUGAGUACCGGAGGGGAUGGCGGAAUUCCCGGUGUAGAGGUGAAAUUCGUAGAUAUCGGGAGGAACACCUGUGGCGAAGGCGGCCAUCUGGACGGUAACUGACGCUGAGACGCGAAAGCGUGGGUAGCAAACAGGAUUAGAUACCCUGGUAGUCCACGCUGUAAACGAUGAGUGCUAGGCGUCGCGGGUAUUGACCCCUGCGGUGCCGAAGUUAACACGUUAAGCACUCCGCCUGGGGAGUACGGUCGCAAGAUUA